CGUAGGGUGCGAGCGUUAAUCGGAAUUACUGGGCGUAAAGCGUGCGCAGGCGGUUUAGUAAGACAGGCGUGAAAUCCCCGGGCUCAACCUGGGAACUGCGCUUGUGACUGCUAAGCUAGAGUACGGCAGAGGGGGGGUGGAAUUCCACGUGUAGCAGUGAAAUGCGUAGAGAUGUGGAGGAACACCAAUGGCGAAGGCAGCCCCCUGGGUCGAUACUGACGCUCAUGCACGAAAGCGUGGGUAGCAAACAGGAUUAGAUACCCUGGUAGUCCACGCCCUAAACGAUGUCAACUAGGUGUUGGGAGGGUAAAACCUUUUAGUACCGGAGCUAACGCGUGAAGUUGACCGCCUGGGGAGUACGGCCGCAAGGUUAA
Molecule: ribosomal RNA, 374 nt
Filed under: uncultured organism
Description: bacterial SSU rRNA
Rfam family: Bacterial small subunit ribosomal RNA
Source: RNAcentral